CCUACGGGUGGCAGCAGUGGGGAAUAUUGCACAAUGGGGGAAACCCUGAUGCAGCGACGCCGCGUGAGUGAAGAAGUAUUUCGGUACGUAAAGCUCUAUCAGCAGGGAAGAAAAUGACGGUACCUGACUAAGAAGCCCCGGCUAACUACGUGCCAGCAGCCGCGGUAAUACGUAGGGGGCAAGCGUUAUCCGGAUUUACUGGGUGUAACGGGAGCGUAGACGGCAGCGCAAGUCUGAAGUGAAAUCCCAUGGCUUAACCAUGGAACUGCUUUGGAAACUGUGCAGCUGGAGUGCAGGAGAGGUAAGCGGAAUUACUAGUGUAGGGGGGAAAUGCGGAGAUAUUAGGAGGAAAACCAGGGGCGAAGGCGGCUUACUGGACUGUAACUGACGUUGAGGUGCGAAAGCGGGGGGAGCAAACAGGAAUAGAUACCCUUGUAGUC
This 440-nucleotide ribosomal RNA is filed under the name uncultured bacterium. Its description in RNAcentral is "partial 16S ribosomal RNA". It matches the Rfam family "Bacterial small subunit ribosomal RNA", at positions 338 to 795 of the family's 1533-position model. The record is from RNAcentral.